Molecule: long non-coding RNA, 558 nt
Organism: Lycium barbarum (goji berry)
Lineage: Eukaryota; Viridiplantae; Streptophyta; Magnoliopsida; Solanales; Solanaceae
Exons: 3
Source: RefSeq, a predicted model, not a curated record
UAAACAUUUAGAACAUUCUAGAGAGAGAAAGGGAGGAGAAAUUUAGAGAGAAAUCAAUUUUGACCAAAAUCUAAGCCCCGAAUCGCGAAGCUCAUGAAGGGAAAAGUGUUGUACGCUGCGCUGUCUUCAAUUUGAGCUAAAAAUCAACCAAGGAGGAGGGUGAUAACGUGGUGGCUGAAUUCUUAAGAUUUUGGCGAAUUUGAAACUUGAUUUUGGAGACGUGUAUGAAGCGGAAAAGGUCAACAGACAGACGGGUUUAAUCCCUAGGAGCUUCACCGGCUGUUCCUUGAGAGUGCUCCAGUUGAUCCGGAGCUUCAGCCUAUUGGUACUACUUUUGUGUAUAUAAUCGGGCACGGCAGAACCCGGCCCUUUCUAUGUAUAUAUGCACUUUGUUUAGAGGCUCGUAGACAGAUAUGUACAGUUAGAUGUUUUGUACUUUGGAUUGUCCUCGUCGCUGUAUAACGUGCUAACAAAGUUUAUUAGCCUAUGUUUAUAAAUAGCUACUAAUGUUAAUGUUCAGUAACAAAAAAAAAAUAUACGGUAUAGUCUAUACGGCCC